UGCAAAUUACUAUUUUGUCCUUCU
RNAcentral lists this non-coding RNA (24 nucleotides) under Arabidopsis thaliana (thale cress). Lineage: Eukaryota; Viridiplantae; Streptophyta; Magnoliopsida; Brassicales; Brassicaceae. The record is from RNAcentral.